RNAcentral lists this ribosomal RNA (407 nucleotides) under uncultured bacterium. Its description in RNAcentral is "partial 16S ribosomal RNA". It matches the Rfam family "Bacterial small subunit ribosomal RNA", at positions 28 to 526 of the family's 1533-position model. The record is from RNAcentral.
GACGAACGCUGGCGGCGUGCCUAAUACAUGCAAGUAGGACGCAGUUGCGAACGGGUGAGUGACGCGUAGGUAACUACCUAUUAGAGGGGGAUAACUAUUGGAAACUAUAGCUAAUACCGCAUACUAGUAGAUGGACCUGCGUUGUAUUAGUUAGUAGGUAGGGCAAAGGCCUACCUAUGCAACGAUACAUAGCCGAGCUGGGAGGGUGGUCGGCCAACCUUGGAACUGGAAACGGCCCCGGACCCCAAGGGAGGGAGCCGGAGGGGAACUUCGGCAAAGGGGGGAAACCUGACCGAGCAACGGCGCGGGAGUGAAGAAGGUGUUUGGGUCGGAAAGCUUUGUUGUUUAGGAAGCGGUACUUAACCAGAAAGGGACGGCUAACUACGUGCCAGCAGCCGCGGUAAUAC